Molecule: ribosomal RNA, 949 nt
Filed under: Limosilactobacillus fermentum
Lineage: Bacteria; Bacillati; Bacillota; Bacilli; Lactobacillales; Lactobacillaceae
Description: bacterial SSU rRNA
Rfam family: Bacterial small subunit ribosomal RNA
Source: RNAcentral
GGUGUCAAAAAUUGAAAUUGAUGGUGCUUGCACCUGAUUGAUUUUGGUCGCCAACGAGUGGCGGACGGGUGAGUAACACGUAGGUAACCUGCCCAGAAGCGGGGGACAACAUUUGGAAACAGAUGCUAAUACCGCAUAACAACGUUGUUCGCAUGAACAACGCUUAAAAGAUGGCUUCUCGCUAUCACUUCUGGAUGGACCUGCGGUGCAUUAGCUUGUUGGUGGGGUAAUGGCCUACCAAGGCGAUGAUGCAUAGCCGAGUUGAGAGACUGAUCGGCCACAAUGGGACUGAGACACGGCCCAUACUCCUACGGGAGGCAGCAGUAGGGAAUCUUCCACAAUGGGCGCAAGCCUGAUGGAGCAACACCGCGUGAGUGAAGAAGGGUUUCGGCUCGUAAAGCUCUGUUGUUAAAGAAGAACACGUAUGAGAGUAACUGUUCAUACGUUGACGGUAUUUAACCAGAAAGUCACGGCUAACUACGUGCCAGCAGCCGCGGUAAUACGUAGGUGGCAAGCGUUAUCCGGAUUUAUUGGGCGUAAAGAGAGUGCAGGCGGUUUUCUAAGUCUGAUGUGAAAGCCUUCGGCUUAACCGGAGAAGUGCAUCGGAAACUGGAUAACUUGAGUGCAGAAGAGGGUAGUGGAACUCCAUGUGUAGCGGUGGAAUGCGUAGAUAUAUGGAAGAACACCAGUGGCGAAGGCGGCUACCUGGUCUGCAACUGACGCUGAGACUCGAAAGCAUGGGUAGCGAACAGGAUUAGAUACCCUGGUAGUCCAUGCCGUAAACGAUGAGUGCUAGGUGUUGGAGGGUUUCCGCCCUUCAGUGCCCGGAGCUAACGCAUUAAGCACUCCGCCCUGGGGGAGUACGACCCGCAACGUUUGGAACUCAAACGAAGUGAACGGGGGUCCCGCAACAGCGGUGGGGAGCAAUGGUUGGGCUUUUAAAACUCGC